UUUUUUUUUUUUUUAGUUACACUCCAUUUUUUUCAUGUGCUUUUGUAGAAAAUAUAAAAGAGAUAGUGUUAUCAACAAUGAUCGAGGCAUUAUUAACAGUGCUAUUUAAGUUGUUUUUGCCAAAAACUUUUUGAAUUGUAUUCCAAAUAGCCAUGGUUAUGUCAUUAUCUUAUUAUGCUUCACAACCAUAAUAUUUUGAGUAAAUCUUACACUCAUUAUCCCAUAAUGUAUACACUAUCACAGUAAAAUAUAUGACACAUGAGCAAAAUUUAAAAUUUAUAUUUAUAUUUAGUUAUUGUCAGUGUAUAAAAGAUUAAUCAUAAUAUUUUUUGUAUAAAUUCGUAUAAUUUAGAUAUAAACUUGAAUUUGUUAACUUAUACAACAAAAUUGGUAUCAAAUUCAUGACUAUGCCAAAAUCAAAUAUAAUAAGAAUUACAUGAACCGAUUUGAAGUGAAACUCUAACUUCUGUGGUCCAAAUCCAAUAUGUAACUGUCUAUACUUUUUGUCCCUAGAGCACAAAGAUGAAACCAAGACAUCGUAAUGGAACUUGAACGAUUAACUAUUAUCAUCACUACUAUUUUUUUGCAAUGAUACCAAAUUCAGGUAAAUGAUCUUACAUCUAUUCAGGCAUGAGUUAAGACAUGGAAAUUUUUACUCUUCAUGCUUUCACUCUAAUCUUUUUUACCACCAUAUUAGCUCUCUUUACCCGUGCAUAUAUGUAUCCUGCUAUGAUCUCCACAAGGAAAAGCUAAGUAUACUUCAAUCUGCAAGAAAGAUACCUUUUGCAUGUUAAUAUUACAACAACAUAAAGUCAAGGUAGUUGGAAAUGGUCUCAUCCAUGAACCAUAUUAGCCGAAGAAAUGCUGCUAGACAAAUAUACCUAUUUUUAAAAUACUACAAAUGGUUGAACGAACACCUUCAUGAUGCAUCAUCUUAUGAUCCUGGCGUGUUUCAAAAUUUCCACAUGUUCAUUUUCAAGAAUGGUCAGUACUAUUAUUUUCAUUUGUUUUACAAUGGUCAAAUUUUAGAUCUCAGAAGCCAAUGAGACACGUAAUUAAAGUGUGGUAUAUUCAAUCCUUUUGCAUCCAAUUAACAUCUAUAUCAUCCCUGAAAAAGGAAACAGAAGUCAUGUACGUAAUUUUUAGAAGUUUUAUGGCGUGAUCAGAUGCCUCCUCAUUCAUUUAAUUGCUCAUGUCACGUUUAGUUCAGUUUAAUUGUUCAAGGCAUUCCAGGCACCAAACUUCAAAUCUCUGUGGAUCCUGAUCCGGUACUGAAGUUAAGGCUAAAAAUUCAUACUCCUAAUAAUGAGCUUGUGAAAAUUGUAAUUUAACCUCCUAGUGGCAACCACUAGCCUUGAAGGCUUAACAUGAUCUGCUUCAAUUUUUGAAAUUUCAAUGGAGAGUUGCACCAAGCUACUACUUCUUGAUUACCAAAAAAAAGGGAUAAUUUCAGAAACCUCAGGCGUGAUCAGAUGCCUCCUCAUUCAAUUAAUUGCUCAUGUCACAUUUAGUUCAGUUUAAUUGUUCAAGGCAUUCCAGGCACCAAACUUCAAAUCUCGGUGGAUCCUGAUCCGGUACUGAAGUUAAGGCUAAAAAUUCAUACUCCUAAUAAUGAGCUCGUGAAAAUUGUAAUUUAACCUCCUAUUGGCAAUCACUAGCCUUGAAGGCUUAACAUGAUCUGCUUUAAUUUUGAAAUUUCAAUGGAGAGUUGCACCAAGCUACUACUUCUUGAUUACCCACAAAAAAAAGGGAUAAUUUCAGAAACCUUCCCUGAGGUUUCUGACAAUUGCACAUAAGUACCCUCUAAUAUUAAAAAUUACACUGCCCUCCCCUUUCAUUCUGAUGUGACCAAUUGUCAACUUCAAUAGCAAUAAAGUGACAGAAAUACCCUCAUCAGUCUCUAAAAUAUUAGAAAUGUGGGAAAAAUAUAAGUCUUCCAAGUAAUAUUCUUGAUAUGCAAUUUGGCGCCAUUACACUUGGGAUAUAUAAUGCUUCUGGCGCCUUCUGAACAGUCUUACUACUUCUAAAGUGUAGAAGAAAUAGCUAUAGAGAAAGGACAAUAUCUAGUAGCAAAACUGGUAAAAAUCCUUCAUCUCAUGAAGGAUAAGCUAGAAUAGUGGCAUAUCUGCAACAUAUGAGCUUAAUAGAAAGUUGUUAAGGUUAUCACAAUUUUGUUGGAUUUAUUGUACCUAUUUUCAAGUAAUAGACACUAAUAGUGGAUGUUAAUGAUCUAUAUGCUUGUUAUAGUGGCAUAUAAUCUGUUAUUAAUAUUAUAAGAUGAAGAUAUGGCUGUGAGAUUGCUUCAAAAGUUAGGUAGUAGAAAGGGAUGAUGGUUUUAAGGUUAGAUCAUAUCUACGUUGAUGUUUUUUAUGCUAAAUCUGUGACUAAUAAUGCAUGCAUGUGGUGUAUUUGAUGGAUUUUUGAGCAACUGAUGUUCAUAUAGCUUAAUGAUUUAUAGAGGGAGAAUUGUAUUGCAAUGAGUUUUACUUGAUGAUCAAUAUGAUGUUUCUUGUUUUUUGUCUAAAAUAUAGAUGUUUGGUGACUCAAUAGAGUUUUAGUUAAAAGUAUUUGUUCAUCUCAUUUAGUAGAUAAAUGGCUUGUACUUGUUAUGUAGAGCUUGUUGAGUAAUAAAGGAUGGUAAUAGAAGAAUGAAAGACAAGUUGAGAUUGUUCUGGAAUAAUAAAGCUAUCUGAUGUGAGCAAAUGAAAAGAAAAAAUCUAUGAUGGAUUAUGGAGUUUUUUGUAUUUUGAAAGCUGCUCUUAGGUAUUAUUAUAUGACAAAGAAGAUUUAACUUCAUUAUUUAGAUUUUGAUGUUAGUAAGUAACAACUAUGAUAUUAAUGAUUAAUUUGGGUAAAACAGAAUGUCACAUGUGGUUGCACAUGACUUUGUAGUUCACUACAAUGGAAGAAGAAUCAGGAUUCCCAAUAUAGAUCCUGAUAGGUAUUUUUAUAUAGAACUGUUGAAUGAUAUUUGUGAGAAAACACUUCAUGAAUUACCUGAAAAUCUUAAUUAUUUGCUACAUAUGAGAUGUGGAAUUCCAAGAACUACUGCAACAAUGGACGUCAACACUGAUAAGGCAGUCUUGGAAAUAUUUAAGGUGUAUGAAAAUAAGCUGGUAAUCAAUUUGUUUGUGGACCACAUGGAUGUAAUUCCAUUUAAUAUGCCUGAGGUAAACAACAAUAACAACUUUUGUGCUGGGCAAGAGAAUCUAGGAAUUGAGGAUAUUGCUGAAAAUGCUGAACCUAAUUUACAAAAUAUUGAAAAGGAUGAUGAAGUGUUCAUUUCAAGUGAUGAUGAUUCUUGAUUAUAUGAAGCAAACAAUGACAAAGAGAACAACUUAAGCAAUGGCAGUGACGCACAUGAAUCAUCUGAUAUGAGUAAUAUUGCUUUCUCAGAUUAUGAGGACAAAUAUGAAGGUGAUGUCAUUUCGAAUUCUAAAUAUAAGGAUGAAAUUGAUCCAAAUAGGGCAGCUUUAAGAGCAAAAAUGUUCACCUAUAAUCUGAGAGAGGAUAUUGAAUUUGAGAAGGAUAUGUUAUUCACCAAUAUUGAUGCUUUUAGGGCUGCUUUGAAGGAUUAUGUAAUCCAGAAAGGUUUUCCCAUAGUAAAACUGAAAAAUGAAAAGAAAAGGUGUACUGCUAAGUGUGCUGUUGAAGGCUGUCCAUGCAAAAUCCAUGUUUCUCCUGUUGGUGAAACAACUACUUUUCAAAUUAAGUCUUACACACCUCAGCACACUUGUGUUAUGAACAAUAGGAAUACGGAGGCUACAUCUGAUUGGAUUGCAAAGAAACUGGUUCCACUUCUUUGGAUCCAUUCUCAAAUGAAUACAAAAAGUGUCUAUGCUGAGAUUGUAUCAAAAUAUGAUGUGCAUCCUAGCAAGAUGCAGAUUUGGAAGGCAAAGACAAGGGCACUAGAAGAGAUAUAAGGUACACACUAUGAGUCAUAUGCAAAAUUGCCUAAGUAUACUGAGAUUUUAAGGAAAAAUAACCCUCAAUGCAUCUACAAAAUACAUUUGAUAGGCCAAAUCUCUUGGUGGAAUGAAGAUUUUUGAGAAUUUUUAUUAGUUUCAAAGCACAAAAAGAUGGAUGUCUAAGAUAUUGCAAGCCAUUUGUUGGUUUUGAUGGUUGCCACCUCAAAAGACCAUAUGGAGGAAUGUUGCUUACUGCUGUGGCUUUGGAUGGGAAUAACAGCAUAUUCCCUCUUGCAAUUGCUGUGGCUGAAUGUGAAAAUAAAGAGACUUGGUCAUGGUUCUUUCAUUUCUUUGAAGAAUACUUUGGUCCAUUUGAUAACCAACUGCCUCUAACAUUUAUGAGUGAUAGACAAAAGGUACAUUUUGUUCUACUUACAAAUGUCCCAUUUCUAUUGUCAUAUAACUUAACUACCAAUCUUCUGUUUGUUCUAAUUAAAUUAUGUUAAAUGUAGGGUCUAAACUUAGCAUAUGAAGAACUGAUGCCAUACACUAAUGCAAGAUACUGCUGUAGGCAUAUUCAGAGCAACUUUAAACUGUCCUUUCCAGGGUUGCUGCUUAGUAAUUACUUCUGGCAGGCAGCUAAGAGCUUUGAUACAAUUGGUCAUGAAGAGGCAAUGGAGAAAAGAGAUAAACAUUGAAACUUGGAAAUACUUGACAAAGAUACCGCUAACAACUUGGGCAACACACUCAUUUUCUCCUAUUAUAAAAUGUGAUCAUGUGAUGAAUAACUUCACUAAAUCUUUUAAUGCAUGGGUUGGUGAUCUGAGGGGGUUGCCUAUUCUUACAUUGCUUGAAGGUUUAAGGAGAAAAUUCAUAAAGAAACUAUAGAAAAGAUUUCAUAAGAGCUGUACCUACACAGGUGUUGUGCCAAUUGUGGAGAAACUGAGAGAAAUUGCCAAUCAAUCUAGAAAAUGUGAGUUUUCUAUGGCUAGUGAGACACUAUUUGAAGUAAAGGAAUUUGGCAAGUCCUACAUAGCCAAUCUGCAGGAGAGAACUUGUGAAUGUGGAGCAUUUCAAAUUUCAGGAAUUCCAUACAAGCAUGCUGCUUUAGGAAUUAUAUACAAAAGAGAGAAUCUUGAGAAAUAUUGUGAUCCAAUAUUUACAAUUGAAGUGUACCAGAGGAUAUAUUUUGGAAUGAUAAAUCCAGCUUCUGAUGAGAGAAAUUGGCCUGAUAUGCUAAGGUGACCCCUGCUACACUAUUACUAGCCCCAUUAAGAAGAGCACCAGGUAGACCAAAAAAGAAUAGGAGGAGAGAAUCUGAUGAGGAUGCUCCUUCAACUCAAACAGGAAGGUCUAAAGCUUUUAGGUGCUCAUUGUGCCAAUCUUAUGGGCAUAAUAGGAGAACUUGUGAAAGAGCUCCAGUGAAAGCAAAGAAAGAAAGCAAUGCUUCUAGUAGUGGUUAUGCACAUUGUCUAUAUGACCUUUGUUCGUUAUUUGCUUUGGUUAAUAUGACAUUCUAACUAAUUUCAUGUUAUCAGGUUCGUCAAAGAAAAGGGAAACCAGGUAGAGGAUUGGCUAAUACAGGGUUAUCUGGGGUUGUACUUUGGGUACUACAAUAGUUGUUGGAUUCAAAAUUUAUUAUGGCAUUCAUUAUCAACUGUUACACUUUAUAUCUGAAUGCAGGAUCAUGUUUCUAGAAAGGUACCUGUUGUUUUCUCAAGUCAAGGUAGCAAUCUAAUUGUCCAAAUUAGGUAUGUCUUAUAUUCAUGUCCUUGUGCAAGGUAGAGCCACUGCAACUGCAAGACUGAAGGAUGGAGGAAGAGCUAACAAGAGCUUUUAGCAAGUUUGAACUAUCGGCAAUGAAACUGGAAGGGGUAGAUCUCUGCCCUGAGGACAUUUGCGAGGGGGUUCAAGACUGUAGGCAGAGUUUGGUAGGAAGACUGAUUGGUGAAAAGGUUGCAAAUUUCACGGGCAUAAAGAACUUUACUAAUCAUGCCUGGGGAUACCCCAGGAAUCUGACUGUGACUGAACUGGGUCCUAACAUUUUCCAGUUCCAGUUGGAGAAGGGAGAGGACCGUGAAAAAAUUCUGAUGGGAGGACCAUGGAUUAUGGAUAACCAGAUUCUUGUGAUGAAAGAAUGGAAGGCUGGGUGCGAAAAGAAGGAUCACAAUUUCCGAUUUGCUCACCUAUGGGUACAAAUCUGGAAUCUCCCAGUUCAUUGGUUGUGUAAGUCAGUGGGCUUUAAGGUAGGAAAGGUUUUUAAAUCUGUUAGGGAGGUUCUUGUUCCGCCAGGGGGAGGAAAUCUAGGAGACAUAUGAAGAUUAUGAUGGAAGUGGAUCUCCUACAACCUCUCCCAAGAGGAACUUUGGUUAAGCUUGAGGGAGUGAAUACAUGGGUGGAAUUUAGGUAUGAGAGAUGCCCAGAUUUUUGCUACAAUUGUGGGAUCAUUGGGCAUGGGGAUAAGUCUUGUACUGGGGACAAAAGGGAGGGUCAGACGUGCAGGGAAGAACAAUAUGGAGCGUGGAUGAGGGCAGGGAAUAUUAUGGUUUCCCCUCUGAAAGUGUGCUUAAUGACUGGUACAGAGGUGAUUAAGAAGUCCAGAGAUGUAGCAUUGGUAAGCAAGGGACCAAGUAAUAAAGCCGGGAUGAUAACUGAGACAGGUCCUGGGGUCGAGACUGGUACAAGCAGCAGGGAAAGUGACAAGGUAUAUAAAAAGAGUGACCAACAAAAGCUAGCAAUGGAGGAAAAAUGGGAUGAGAUUCUGAGGGAGAGUGUAGAGAUGAAAGGAAGCUGAGAGAAAGAGGACAAGGAGGAGUGUACACGAAAGGAGGGGGACAAAUUCAAAGGAAGAAACAAUACCGAGAGGCCUAAAGUGGUAGUGGACCUGGGAAAUGACUGGAACGGGAAAGAAAAUCAGCGCCCAGAAGAUAUGGUUUUAGAUGCAAGCAUUGACCGAGAGGAUAAAAAUAAAUACGAGAAGGGGGUAUUAACUAGCAAUGAGUCUGAAACAAAGGAAGCCAACUGCUGGACUCAGGAAAGCAGAUGUAAUCAAGGAAGGAAAAAGCAGUGGAGGAGGAGUUCACGUGUUACAAGAGUGCCGCUGAAAGACAUUACGGAUAGAGGGACAGUGAGUAACCUUGGUGAGAAAAGGACAACAACGAAAGAAUGGCAGGACCUGGACUUUAUGGAAGAGGACAUAACACAUAGUCCACAACACAAGCUAUUAAGAAGGGACCAGGAAGUCGAUCAGCAAGGAGGGGAAUUGGAGGCUAGCCCCGCAAUGCCUCCACCUAUACAAUGAAGGUUGCGGUGUGGAAUUGCCGAGGUGCAGGAGGCCCCUUGACAAUUUCCCAACUGAAGGAGGUAAUUCACCUCCACUCUCCUAGUGUGGUGUUCCUAUGUGAGACAAAAAACAAAGAAAGGUAUAUGAAACAGGUGCAAAAUAGAAUUAAGUUUGAACAUAGUUUUGUAGUGAAUCCUAAGGGUAGAGCAGGGGGACUAGCUUUGUUUUGGAAGGAGGGGGUACAAUUAUUGGAUAUACACAGCACUGAUUGGUAUAUUGCAGCAAGAGUGGAAGACAAGGAAACGAGUGAUUAUUGGUGGUUGGUUGGUAUAUACGCAAGUACAGAUUAGAGGGUGAGAGUGCAGCAAUGGGAGACAAUAGGGGAAAAAAGAGGGCAUGGGGUGAGAAAUGGGUAGCAAUGGGAGACUUUAACGACAUUUGCUCAAACGGGGAGAAAUGGGGGGAAAGAGAGGGAUCAGAAGGUAGUUUUAGGGAGUUCAAUAGCUUUAUUUCUGAUAAUGAGUUAGUGGACAUAGGGUGUAAGGGGGUGCCUUGGACAUGGAGUAACACAUGGGAAGGGGAGGGAGAAAUAAGAGAGAGACUAGAUCGAUGUUUAGGAAGUGUUGGGUGGGUACAAAAGUAUGAGAAUGCUGCUGUGGAACACAUUGAAAUAGAGGCUUCUGAUCACUGCCUGCUCCUAAUGGACACAAAAUCGAAGCAAAGGAGGGCCAAAAGAAGGUUUUUCUUUGACCAAAGAUGGGCAAGGGAUGAGGCAUCAAUAGCUGUUAUUAAAAGAGCUUGGGGACUGGAACAAAAUGGGUCUAGAAUGUUCAGAGUGGUGAAAAGGAUUAAGGAAUGUAGAAUUGCUCUGAUUGAAUGGAACAAGUCACUUAAAGGCAACACAAAGGCAAAAAUUCAGGAGCUGAAGGAGAAACUAAGGUCCGUCCGUGAGGAGAAUGAGCCAUGCAACAAAGGAGUUAUCACAACCUUAAAGCUACAACUAAGCAAAGCUUACAAGGAUGAAGAGUUGUUUUGGAGCCAGAAAUCAAGGAGCAGAUGGCUCAAAGAGGGGGACAAGAAUACAGCCUACUUUCACCUAAGUGUCAUGGCUGCUAGGAAACGGAACAAUAUCAGUAUACUCCAGAAGGCUAAUGGGGAGUGGUGUACGAGUGCAGAGGAAAUCAAAGCUGAGUUAAGCGAGCACUAUGCGGAGCUGUUCAACUCAAGUAAUCCAUCUGAAUUUGAAGAAGUGUUGCAAGGCAUACCGUGCACUAUUUCUAAUCUCGCGAACACACAGUUGAUCAAGCCAGUGACAGAAUUGGAGAUAAAACAAGCCAUAUUUUCCAUGUUCCCAAAUAAAGCCCCUGGAGUUGAUGGUAUGCCCCCUUUAUUUUUCCAAACAUACUGGCAUAUUAUCAAAAAUGAUAUUGUCAAUGCUGUCACAAGUUUUUUCCAUUCUGGUAAUAUCUUAACGGCUAUCAAUGAGACCAUUAUCUCCAUUAUCCCUAAGGUUGACAAUCCUGUUGUGCUUACUAAUUACAGGCCUAUAAGCCUUUGCACUGUCCUUUAUAAAACUAUUUCCAAGAUUUUGGCUAAUAGAUUGCAAAAAGUCCUAGUGCACUGUAUUAAUCCGUCUCAAUCUGCUUUUGUCCCUGGGCGUCAAAUUCUUGACAAUGCUAUCAUCGCUCAUGAAGUCUUGCAUUUCCUAAAAAGUAAGAGAGGUGGUAGAGUAGGCUUUAUGGCUUUAAAGCUUGAUAUGUCAAAAACCUAUGAUAGAGUGGAGUGGAAGUUUCUAGGCAGAAUUAUGUUACAUAUGGGCUUUUGUCCUACUUUUGUUCGCUGGAUCAUGACGUGUAUCUCCACUGUUUCUUAUUCUUUUAAUUUGAAUGGACAAAAUGUGGGUUAUAUCAAACCAUCUAGAGGUCUCCGUCAAGGGGAUCCCCUAUCCCCCUACUUGUUCAUUAUAUGUAUGGAAGGGCUGUCCAAUUUUAUCAAGAAAGGUGUGGAUUCUAAGCAACUAACGGGCAUCAAAGUCUGCAAAGACAGCCCUAUGAUCUCUCAUCUCUUUUUUGCAGACGAUUCUCUUUUGUGUUGCAAAGCAAGCAAGGAGGAGGCUAAGAAGGUAAAGGAGAUCAUUCAGACUUAUGGACAAGCCACAGGACAGGUAGUAAACUUUGGUAAAUCAGCCAUGUUCCUUACUAAAAAUACCUCCAACAGGAUUCGAGGAGAGAUUAGGGAGGUUUUGGGCAAUAUGAGGGCAGCCUCUAGUGGGAAAUAUUUAGGAUUACCUAUGACUAUUGGGAGAGCUAAGAAUCAGGUUUUUGGGUCCCUGAAAAGUACCAUCAUUAGCAAACUCCAAGGAUGGAAACAUAAAGUGCUUAGUCAAGGGGGUAAGGAGAUCCUAAUCAAAUCUGUCAUCAUGGCCAUGCCUACCUAUAUAAUGUCUUGUUUUAAGCUCCCUAAAGGCUUGUGCAAGGGUAUUAGUGCAACUAUUGCAGGUUCUGGUGGGGCGGGGAUGGUCUAGAGAACAAAGUGCAUUGGGUGAGGUGGAGUAAGCUUACUGAAGUUAAAGGGAAAGGGGGAUUGGGCUUUAGAGAUUUAGAAGCCUUCAAUGUUGCCUUGCUUGCAAAACAAAUUUGGAGAGUUGUUACAAAUCCGAAUUUGUUAGUAAGCAAGGUCCUGAAAGCUAAAUACAUGAAAAAGACUGACUGGCUUGUUCAAAAGCCCCCGAGCACAGCAUCUUGGUGCUGGAAAAGUUUACACAAGGGAGGUGAGCUGCUUCAGCAGGGCCUAUACAAGAGGGUAGGAGAUGGAAGGUCAAUUAAAAUCUGGGAAGACAGAUGGGUAGCUGGAUCGUGCAAUGGGAAAUUAACUACGGCAAAACCAGCAGGGUGUCAACUUGAGUGUGUCCAUGAACUAAUAGAGGAGGGGAGGUGGAAGACUGAUACUUUGCAUCGCUGGUUUAACAUAGAUGAUGUGGAACUCAUAACUAACAUCCCUCUAAGUCUAUAUGAAAGGAAAGACAGAUUGUAUUGGUUGCAUAGCAAGUCUGGUGUUUAUACAAUCAGAACAGGCUACGUUAUUGCCAAAGGGGGAAGGGAGACUGUGAACCACAGGAUAGCACCUGACUCUGAGACUAGCUGGGCAAUUAGGAAGCACACGGUGUGGAAAAGAUUGUGGGGCUUAAAUAUCAAAAUGAAGCUCAAGCAUUUUUUAUGGAGGUGUUUGCAAAAUGGGCUGGCUACUAGUGAAGCUCUCUACCAAAGAGUUGGGAAAGGAAGCAAUCUGUGCCAAUGUUGUGGUGAGGCUACGGAAACCAUUGAACAUGUAUUCUUUUUUUGUCCAACAGCUCAAAUAGCUUGGAGGCUAGCUCCGGUGAGUUGGGAAGGGAUAGUUGAGCUACAAUGCAACAUGUGGAGGUGGUGGGAUGUUAUGAUGGAAUCGGCAAAGGGGGCCCAAGGAAUGGACCGCAUCAAGCUCACAGUAAAUAUCCUUUGACAGCUCUGGAAGGCGAGAAACAAGAGAGUAUUCCAGCUGGAGAGUGAGGAUGCAAAAGUGAUAAUUGACAAAGCCCAGCAAGAGUGGAUCGAAUUUGAAGAGGCAACUGUUCCUCAACCCCGAGGAUUCGCAUCAACAGAGCAGGAAAGACUGAGUCAGCAUAAUUGGGAGCCACCAAAGGAGGGAGUAGUGAGAAUUAAUACGGAUGCAGCAAUCUCAGCAAAAAUGGUCAGGAUCGGAUUGGGAAUUGUUGCACGGAACUGGCGAGGAGAUCUAGUGAAAGUCCGAGGGAUUAGUAGAAGGAAAAAAGGGGAAGCUGCCACAGAGGAAUCAUUAGCAAUCCGAAGUGCGCUGGAAAUGGCUCAAGCUGCAGGAUGGACAAAGAUAGAAGUCCAGUCGGACUGCAGAAACGUUGUGAGCUCGAUCAAUGCGGGCAAUGUUCAGGAUUGUAAGUUACAAACAAUCCUAGAAGACAUUGAGGCCCUAAAGACUAGUUUUGACAGUUGUAUUUUCUCUUUUGUUCCCAGAAGUGCGAAUGGCUACAGUCAUGAAGUGGCUCAAUUUGCAACCAAGGUGGUUAAAACCAUUGAUUGGCAAGCUUCAUUUCCAACAUGGUUAACUGUUCUUGCUAGAAAAGAUAUGGGGGUAGUUACCCCUUUUUGUAAUUAACUCUUGUAUUUUCAAGUGUUAAUAUCUAUAUAAUGUUAUCGUUUGAUUAAAAAAAAAAAAUUCAUGUCCUUGUAAGUUGUAUACUGCUGUUAAUUUAUGGAGAUACCUAAAUGUUGGAUACAAUCAAGGGAAACACAAAUUCUGUAUUUGCUCGAGCUCAAUUGGGUACCGGAACUCCAUCUGCUACUGUUAAUGUACAAAUUCAAUUCCUAGCUAGCCCGAGUGGAACAAAGAAGGUAUAACUUUGUUCAUUUCAAUUUCAUUUGAUAGCCACAUACAUCUUUAUAUGCAUAUACAUGUCUCUGGUAUGAUAAGAGCACUUUAUGAUUUAUUUUUGUUAGAAAGGAAGGCCUACAAAAGCUAAAGCCAUAAGGACAAUAAACACUAUUGAGAAAAAGACUGGUGGUACCCCCAUUCAUUCACGCAUGCCUUCUAGAGAAAAUGCCCCUGUAGAAAGCAACAAUGGAGCUUCUCAGACAUCCAGAACUGUUACCAUAGAAGCUAAUGCAACUACUAACUCUGUCAAUGUUAGUAGCUCCUUCAGCAUGUGGUUUUAAUGGCUGAUCACUACAUAUCUAAUUAGUAAUUUAAAUAGUAUUUUACUAAGCAAAUACUAAGCCUGCAUUCAGUGGUAGUGGUCUGAAUCUUUUGUACAUCAAAUCUCAUGAUGGAACUGAUACCAUAUAGUCACCUAGUCACCUAAGCUUAGCAAUCCUUACCAUUCGGACAACUAGUCUGAGAUGAUGUUUUGUGUUCAAUGGAUUGCUUGGCAAACUCAAAUCUGUAACUGAAAGUAAGGUGCUACAAUUGCAACAUUUACAAUCCUAACCAUCUUCAAAGCCUAUUAAGAUUUUUUUUUUUGCCUUGGAUUGCUCAUUAUGGGUAUUCAAUCAACUUGAUAUUUAAGAUAUUUAAGACUUGUUUUAGUUUAUUUUGUUUAUAGUGCUUUGUACCACUUGCAUAUGCAAUUGUAUAAGUGGUUUUGGAAAUUUUUUUUUAUUUUGAAGCAUGGUAGAUAAACUUCUAUUAAAUAUUGUAGAUGAAUUUAAAUCCACCAUAUCUUGACCUUGUGGUUCUACCACUAUAUAAUUACCAAGGCUCAAGUUUUGGUGGUACAGUCUUACAAUUUUAUCCAAUUUUUCUUCCUUUUUUUGUUGCCAUUUUUCUUGCCCAAAAAUUUUAACUCAUUUUCUUGUAGGAUCAAUGGGAGUAAACUUGGAAAAUAAUUGUUUGACAAGACUAAUUCAUUAUUUUUAAAUUUACUUUUUACGACAUGGACUUAAUUUGUUACCAAAUAUGUCAAUCAAGGGGUGGGUAGUGUAAUUUUUGAUAUUAGAACGUAUUUAUGUCUGAAAUUAUCCAAAAAAAAAAAAAGAACUACUACUUCUUUAAUGUUGGAUAAUCCCCCAAUCUUCUCUAUAUUGUCUUAACCUAAUCAAGUCUAAGAUUUUUUUUUCGAAUCCCAAUAAUUAUGUACCAACUAUCACCUCCUGGUUUCCUAAUGUUUUUUUUUCGGGACACGAUAGACCUAUACUUACUUUAUACUAGGGGGAGGGAGGACCUUUUUUUCGGACACGAUAGACCUACACUUACUCUAUAAUAGGGGGAAGAGGACCUAAAGAGAUCUAAGAUAGACUUACAAUUACACUUACUCUAUACUAGUUUCCUAAUGUAAGGGGAACAGAUUUGAAUAACUUAAAGGCUCUAUAAUGUAGAAUAUCAUAAGCGCAGAGGUUCAAGGCGGAGUCAACCGGGGGAAGGGUUGCCGCCAAUCCAUAAGUUUUUAAAUUUUUAGGAUUAAUUACAUUUACUUCCCUAGAAGUUUGACCAAAUUAUCAAAUGGACCCCUUGAUUUGGCCAAACUAUAGGGCGCCCCCAAAAAAUCAUAAAUUGUUAACUACUACACCCCUCCCGUUAGUCCUCUGACGUUGACCACCUGAAAUUCAACAAAGACUGUAGUAACUUUACGUGAAGGUCCUAAAAUACCCUCGAAGCACUAUUACCUUUUUCUUCUUCUUCUUUUUUUUCCGCCACCCUUAUUUCUUCCUUAUUCCCCGGAAACACCAACUGUAGCCUUGCUAAAGCAGAAUCUCCAACUCUACAUGCCAAUCUGUCAUGGAUGUUUCAAGAUACCUAGUCAUGUAGGUAGUGAUCUUUCUUUUAUUCAAACUACCAAAAUCCAAAGAAAAAUUGUCAAGGCCACCUCAUUCAUAUUCAUUAAUAUCUCUUAGAUCAAACUUUUUUUUUAGGAGUCUUAAAUCUAACUUCAAACACUAAAAUCAAAAGAAAACACUUUUUGAGAUGUCAACAGCAAUAAUAUUUUGGUCACAGCAUCUUAAUCUUAUAACACGGUAACCAAGACCAAAAUUAAUAACAAAUAAGAAAAGAAGAUUCAAAAAAAAUCUGCACCAUUAGCAGCAAAUUCAUGCCACACUCCAAAAAGAACAUGAAAGAAAAACUAUUUUGUCAUGUCAAGAACCAAAUCUAAGUUGUAGAUUCAAUUGAUAAAACAAUACGUUCAAUAGAAAAGGAAAGAUAAUACGAAAGAAAAGAGAAUUGAUUGAAGAAGAGGAAAGAAAGAUUUGGUCCAUUUGGAAGAUGAAUAUCAGCGCGGAGAUUUGUUCUUAUCCCAUUUUGUUCCACGUUUGUGUUUUAUUUUCCAACUUUUUGUACUGGGUCAAUUUUGUCAUUUUAGUAAUAUAUGUUAGUUGGGUUUACAGAAGGUUACUGACGGAGGACUUUUGUAGUUUGACCAAACGAUGGGAAUCAUAUGGUAAUUUGGCUAAACCUCAAGGGUGAUAAAUGUAAUUAAGCUAAAUUUUUAUUUAACGACUAUUAAAUUCUAAUUUUUUUUUUUAAAAAAAAGUCCUCUUCUUGACCCCCGAAAAUUUUUGAUAUCAUGUAACAUAUUUUCUCCAUUUUCCUAAUUUUAUGUUUUAUAAAGUUUUAACUUAUUUCUUUUUAAGACUGGAAAAGUAUUGGUGUUCAAUAUGGACAAGGUGCCCCUUUCCCCACCCCUUUCAUAAAUUACUUGCUCCGCCACUAAAAUUCCAUAUCAAGGUUAACGCUGUUUGGAUAAUUACUCAUUUUGAACGAGCAUCAUCUCAUCCAAGACUGGUGAAUUUCAUCUUCUGGAAUUUAACUAUACAUGUAGGCAAACGUUUGUGACAGCAUGAUUUUCAACUUUCUUUAUCCAAACAAAAUGGGCAUGUGUGUGGUUGGUUUUUUGUCAGUCCAACAAGGAAAAUUCGAAGCAAUAUGUUCUGUCACCAGGCCGACCACGUUUCUAAGAAUUGGUCUUUUUUCCCUGUUCCACCAUUAGCUUUCAAGACUUAAUCGGCAAGCAAAAUUAAAAGGCAAUUUCAAUCAAAAACUAAAAGGACUACUGAGGUACAACCCAAUACAUGAAAGAUUUUGCAUGUUGAAGGUUUACCUAAUAUCCAUCAAAGGCUAGUACAAUCCAUUGUACUUGCUCUAUCUGAAUUUGAUUUCUAUAACAAGAAGAGUUUCCAGACUAGCUAUACUUGGAAUUUCUUGUUCUUUCCUUUUGUACAUUCUUUGGCAAUUGGCAUGCAAGAGUGAGUAUAGCAUCUUUCAAACACAUAAAAUCAGCAAAUUACUGUUUUCCAAUAGUAAAAAACAAAGAAAAGAAUCUGCCGAAAACCUAAUACACCAAUUAGCAGAUCAUCAAAAUAAAUUUUCUUGCUUUUCAUGUUUAAUCAUCAAUAAGCUGUUAACUUUUCUCUAUUGCCCCAUUUCUAAAACACUUUUCUUUGUUUCCGGGGGAGGAUGAUUGGUAAAUUAUGUUUUGACCCUCAAACUAUGCACUUUAUAUCACUUCAGUCCCUAAAUUUUAAAAUGGAACACUUAAGUCCCUAAAUUAUUAAAUCCAUCCCAAUUAAGUAAAAUCGUUGAUAGAAUCCACAAAAUCAUCAGUCUUCUUGAGGUGUGCAAACAUACGCCAUUAAACGAGACUAGGUUUCAAAUUCUACCAAAAUGAUGAGGGCAUAAAUCUAAUUUCAUUGCAAAAUAAAUAGAAAACAAAUGGAAAAACAUUUUGGGCUCUUUGGUUUAGGGGUUCGAUUUGUAAAUCACGGAGAAAGACAAUGGAGAGAAGGACAAGAAAAACUCAGAAAUUUUUGGCUAAUACUAGCAAAAAUCGAUUGAGAUCUUCAGACGGUGAAGAUUGCAACAAUGGCAAGAAAGAGAUGGCAUUCAAGAGAAAAGCCAUCUCCAGCAAAGCUAAAGAAAUCGAAAAUGAAGACUGAAAUUGGUAAUCAAAAUAAAUUUUUUGCCUUUUCAUGUAGGUUAAUUUAAUAGCAUAAUCCAUACAUGAAUUAGAAAAAACUAUUAAUUUGUAAUGAAAUAUGUCUCCAUCGCCAUAGGGAUUAGUGAAAAGUUAGGGUUUUAUAUGGUAUUGAAAUUUGUCUCCUUUAAUAUGCUUUGUACGGUCAUGGAAAAGAUCUAUUGCAUAAUUUACUCGAAGAAUCUAUAGUCCUUGUUUUCAAGAUAUAGUGAUUUAUGGCAUAAUCUAUCUCCCUAAUGCUCCUUGUGUUGAUGACAUUGUGAUACCUUUUUAGAAAUUAUUGAAUUUUUUAAAAUAUUUUCUGAUUAAAAAACUUAUUUGCUUAAAAUCAGAGAGCGGGCAACAUGGUAUUUGGCAUGAACCAUUUACUUUGGAGAUGAACCAUCAGGGGGAGUUUACAAGAUUGCCAAACACAGAAUACGUAGCAGGAAGGGUUGACCCCAUUGAUGAGUGUAAUCCUGAAAAAUGGUCACUUCAAAUGCUUGAUAAAUGUGGAGAAAAACUUGGAUACCCAAAAGAUGUAGGUUUUGGGUGGUACGGUAGACUGCCGGGAUUACCACUCGAUCAAGGACUAUUUUUUGGCUUAUGUGAUGGGGACUGUGAAUUACUUGUUAAUACCUUAUAGGUGCUGAGCUGUAUCUCGCAGUUGGAGCCUUGGAGGUAGAGCUAAGUAGCUAACAGGGUGAGGUUCCAUGCUAAGAAUAUGUAGAAUAACGCCAUGCAUGAAAGUCAGACAACUCCUUCAAAAGAGGCUGGGAAAGAUAAAGGUGCAGCUAGUUGCGAUAGUGAUGUUAUUAUAAUAAAAGAGAGUGAGAGUGAUGACGAGGGAGUAAACAUGAAUCCACAAAAGUGAGAUGCUCAAGAGGGGCUUUUUGAUGUAGCUAACUCGGAAUCCUUGAAAGUAGACAUUGAAAAUGAAACUGAUGUGGGAGUAGGCAUUCCAAAUAUCAUCAAUGAAGCCACAAUAAAUGCUGAUGACACAAAUGACUUUGACAUGGUAGCAAAGAAAGCUGAGUGCAGUAAAGCUGAUGAAGUGAACUAGAGAAGGCCAAUAUGGCGGAUACUGGUGACCAUGGAACAGCGACAACCCAGUGAAGAAACAACUAUACCUUCAACCUCCUUAUUUUCCUUUGCCACAGCCUUGAGUUUUCUUGCAACCUCCCAUUCUCAACUUCUAUUUUGUUUUUUGUUCUUAACAUUCCAGGGAUUAGACCCUUGAACUUUUGACAUAUUUCAAGAUCAAUGAUCAAUCCAAUUCUAGUAUCUACAUCCUCCCGAUUCCUACAUUAACAACACCAUUAAGAGAAUAAAGACAAGUUUAGCUAGGUGCGUUGCAUACAAACUGGAAACAUGGGAAAGUACAAAUAGAAAUACCUAAUGGAAAUUACCAUUGACGAGACCUUCUUCCUGGGUUUAAGUCACUGGCAGAGCCAGAAAAAAUUCUCAGUGGGGGCAAAAGCAACUCUAAAAUUUUUUACCUAAUUUUUUUCUAGUUUUUUAAGCAAAAAUAAUAAUAUUCACUAACAAGUACAAAUGAUGCAUAUAUUUCAUGAAAAAUAUAAAAAGACAAACUAUUAUUAAUGUAAUAAUAAUUUUAUUUCAAAAAGCAAACUAAACCAUUUACAAUUGCUCACGACGAGUUUUCAUAUUUUGAUAACGGUUUACAACCUUCUCAUUUUGAAUUUCACGAAAUAUAUUUUUUUCAAUGUAAGCAACUAAACAAUCAGUAAUCCAAGUGUCUCCCAUUCAAUUUCGUAACUGAUUCUUUACUAUAUUCAUAACUGAAAAAGUCCUUUCUAUGGUAGCUCUAACAACACACAAAAUCAAAGCGAACUUUAGAUGCAUAUAAACCAAUGGAUACACAAAAUUUCAUGAGGCACACUUGAGAUUAUAUCAAAAUUCUAUGGAUACUAUAGAAAUUUAAGAGAGGCAGUGAGGGCCUGUGCCCCCACCGUAGUUCUGCCCCUGGUUUAAGUCUAUCCAUGAUGUUCAUCAAUGGUUGUUUUUCACAAUUACAUUUGUUCCUAAUCAUCUCUCCUUUUUCUUCUUUUUUAUCUUCAGAUUUCUAGCCUUUUUUUUCUUCUUAGUUCUUUCCCCUCAUUUGGAGAUGCAGCCAAUUGGUCUCUAUUUGUCUAGGACACAUCGAUACCCUUUUAUGAACUGGAUCGGAUCAAGAAUAUGACCCGUAUGUGGUGAAUAAAAGGAGGGAAAUCCCUCCUUUGUGCUAAAUAAUUUCCUUUUUAUUUUUUUAAUAUAUUUUUAUGAAUUCCUAUACUUGCCCUCAUUCAAUGGCGCAUGUUUACAUACCCCAAGAAGACUGAAGAUUUUGGGAUUUUGUCAAUGAUUUUCCUUAAUUGCGAUAGAUUUGAUAGUUGAGAGAUUGAAGUAUCUCAUUUUGAAGUUUAGAGAUUAAAGCAGGAUACGUGCAUAGUUUGAGAGGUCAAAAUGGAAUAUACCCCAGGAUUAUUUGAUAUAAUUAGAGAUGUUGACCAAAUUAUACAAUUUUUAUCUCAACAUCUCAUUCUUAGUUUUGUUUAAAUUAUUCUUGUCAAGCCUAUGAAGUUAGUUUUAAUUUGUCUUAGAAUCUAUUACAGCACUUAUUACUUUUUCUAGACAAUGAGUAAUGACUAAGUACUUUGAGAUAUCAAAUUGUACGUGAUUAAUGACCCACCAAUUUGAUAUUGUGAUAUUUAAGUAGAAGUUAAUAAAUACUCCCUCCGUCCCACUUUGAUAGUUGGUUGUUUUUUCACACAGUUUAAGAAAAAACAGUUAACUUUGUUAGAACAAUCAAUUUAGGUAGCUAUUUUCCUAAAAUACCCUCACAUUAAUUAGAGUAUAACUUUAUGGAAACUUGAUUUGAUGGUAAAAAAAAAUGAACUCUCAUUAAAUGGGGUAGGUUUAUAGUAACAACAACUUACAUUGAAUAAGGGUAUUUUAGGAAAAUUAAAAUACAACUAUAUUCUUCAAUUGGAAAUUGGACUAUAAUUUGGGACAAACGAAAAAGGAAAACAUGACUAUUAAAGUGGGACGGAAGGAGUACAUGCUACGUCGACAAUAUUGUGGCUCAAUCUUUUUUGAGAGUCGCAAAACUAAAUUGUGAGAAUAGGGUUGAUUUUUUCUUAAUUGAAUUAAUCUUUUCUAUACUAUAAUAAUAAUGUAAACACUUUUUACACUAUUAUGAGUACAUGCAUAUCCCAUGUGUGAAGACAGAUUUUUAAAUUGCAAGAAAAGUGAAGUACCAAUUAAAACGUUACUCUAGAAAAACUUGCACUAACAACAUUACAAAGAUUAUCCCUUUUAUUAAUAUUUCAAGGCAAAAGAGGAAGGUGACUUUAUCCCUUGCAGUUCUCACAACAAUAUGGAUAAUAAAGUAAAGAUAAUUCGUUGAGGAUGCAUCAUUUUAGAGCAAAAUGGACCUCUUAAAGCAGUGGCAACUAGUGAAUGACAGCCUGUAAAAGAAGUUUCUUAAAACAACAAAUGUUGACGCGUAAUCUCUCGUUGGAAUAUUGGCCUCUCAACCAAUCUUGUCUCUGUGUCUCUUAUAUAUCAAACCAAUAGGGACAUUAGAAACAGUCUAAUCUGCAGGACACAUUCCGUGUGAAUUUAGAUACCUUAGUGAACUGUGUCGGCGUAUCUCAUGUAAUGUUUUGCCCCACUUUUCCUGAAAAUUCACAGCAAAGUCUAGAAAAGAGAUUAAAGUCCACAGCUCCAAGGAUGAUGGCUGCUCUCCGCGUUUUAAGAUAAUCCUUUUAGGACGGUGAAAUAGGUUCUUUCUGAUAUGUAUCUGCAGGCCAGGUGCAAGUCCCCAGAUUCUAUUGACAUUGUAGCCGUGAAUCUCAAUUGCAGGACCCCCUUAAUUUAGAACAGAUAUCUAUUUUUUCUUACCAGCUUAAUUUUGAAACAAUUCAUGUUUUAAGUACUGACUUAGCUAUAAUGAUUUUAGACAAACUUAUCCCGAGAAUUGCAACUUUUGCUGAUGUUGAAUAAACUUACUCUAAGGAAUAAACUUACUCUAAGGAAGACCGAUAUAUUAUGUCAAAGUUUAUCUUGUAAAAAGUGCUUUGCCAAACUUUAGUAUCAUUAGUAAUAUUUCACGUGAUUUGCACGUGAUUAUAUUAUCUUAAAAUAUAAUUUUUUUUAGAUGUUAUUAACAACCAUCAUACUUUAGCAAUAAUAUCACAUGGGUCUACUAAAUUAUUUAUUAUUUUACAUUUAUUAUUUGUAUCCAAUUUAGUCCAGUAAAUCAUCUGAUCAUGUAUUAUACCAAUAGAUUAGAUGAUUUGCGACAUUUAUCUACCCUUUUUCACUUUUUCUUUUUCUUUCACUCUUAUAGAUACUUUCAAGUUACUAGCCAGUUGACUUUCCCUACUUAAUUUCUCUGAAGCAAAUUGAGCACAAUAAUAACUUUUUUGUCUUAAGAUCACCUUUUCCCUAGUAUAUAUUUUAAUAUUUUUGAUGAUCUUGGAAAUGGAAUUGUGGAUAUAUAAUCGAGAAUUUUUUUUAUUAACAGAUAAAUUGGGAGUAAAACGAAAAUGGAUAGGUUUAGAUAAAAGUGCAUUAUUAUCUUAUUUGUCACCAUAAUUUAGAUUUGAUGCUUCAUUUUUGUAACCACUGCCAUUAUUGUCUAUUAUUGAAAUGCAAUGACUUUAAUUAUUGGAGGGUAGAGUAUUUUGGGCAUCACUAAAAACUAAGGCCAGAUUUUGCAACACUUUAAUCUAAGACUGAUGAUACUUUUGGUAUCAAAAUAUCUGUAUCUAUAUCUAUGUAUUUCUAUUCCAUUCAGGUGAUGUUAAUGUUCUCUUUUAUGACAUCUAAAUUGAAUUUUCCAAUGUUUUUUGGGGUAAUAUUUAUCAUUCUUUAUGUCACAUAUGAUUUUUUAGUUUUUGUCUGUUUUUUAGUUUCUUUUUUUUUUAACUAUUAAUAUUGAUACAAUUAUGACACUAGGUGCAACAUGUCCGAAAUUCUUCUCAUUCUUCUAAAUUGGAUGUGUACAACUUAUUAUUUCAUCUAUUUGCUCAAUGUUUCUCAAUUCAAUUUUUUCCUUUAUAAAUCAAUUUGGUAUGAUAUAAUACGGUGAAUUUAAUCAUCAACUAAUAUUCUAUCUUGCCAUCAACCAUUAUUUUCUAUAAUGAAUUUUAAUCAUCAUAAAUCAUAAGAACAUAAUAUGAAACGCUAAUCAUCAAUUAAUAAGAAUAUAAUUGAAAUGACAAAAACUAAGUUGACAAAAAUGCUUAUACUCAAAGGUACCAAGACUCAUAGUACUUUUUAUAAUAGUAAUGAUAAUUAUGUAUAGCGGGAUCUUUGAAACAAAAACUUAGUGAUUCAUAAUUGAUUUUGAAGACCUGAGGAGGAAAUUCGUUGUUUAACUGCCCAUUCUUGAAUUUUUAAUUGGUUAGCAUACGUAAUUAAGAACAUUUCUGUUCAGUUUUAGUUUAGCUCAAGUACGAAGAAUUUUGCCAUAACUGUUGGAAAAAUGUACGUCGGAUGACCAAGAAGAAGUGACAAGAUUGAGAAAGGCAAGAGACCUCACUGUGACCUUAGAGCAAGAAAUUUGAGCAGUUCAAUCGCAUGUUUGCUCGGAGAUGCUGGGGAUUAUCUUGAAUUUGAUGAGUCGCAGACCAUUCUUAGAUUACCCAAUUCUCUCGAGUUGAUGAUUGUUUCAAAGUGAAUAUUUUACUUAUCUUUGUGGUCUGCUUUCAAAUAAUGGUCACUUUCCCUAAACGAAAAUUGUAGAUUAUAAAAACACACCUUGUAGUGCCAAUGAGUUAAGUGGAGGAGCUCAAUACCUCACCAGCAAUUAUCAUAGUAUUAGUUAACAUAAGUUGGUUCGAUUGGUAAGAAUGAAUUACUUUCUCACAAAAGAUAGUAUAUUCAAAUCCCAUUACCGAUAUAAGAUUCCGAGAACAUGUCCUAACUCAUGGUAGCAACCGAAAUCAAACCCACUCAGACAUUUUCAUAUUAAAAUAUAUAUAUAUAUAUAUAUAUAUAUAUAUAUAUAUAUAUAUAUAUAUAUAUAUAUAUAUAUCGUAGCCUUAGGGUUUUGAAAUGUUUUUGGUAGAUUGCACUUUUACUCAUUAUGUGAUAAGUUUUGUGCACCACAAGUUUGAUUACAUGUUUUAGUCAUAUAAAUCAAUUCUUGUGCUGCUAACUUGAAGGCGAAAAUACAGAAUUGGUCUACAUCCCUUGCCUGAUAAUAGCUCCAUAAAGGAUCACGCCAUCAUACGGUCCUGUCCAUAAAGGCCCAAAACUGCUAUACCAAAAUCACGUUUUCUAAGGGCCCUGCGCCUCCUCUUUUCGAAUCUUUAUUUGAGAGCUACUACAACCCGCCCUUAAUUUACAACAAUCUAGCCCCAGAACCAGAAGGCACCCAAAAAAAAAAAAGUGAAUCCAGAGCAGAAUUUAUGUAGUGAUUUGUAAAUUGAACAUUUUGGUAUUUUAUCCUCUAAGUACAUAAUUUGGUAGCCUCAAUCGCACAACCAAUUGAAGACACAAUUAAUACUGUGGUAUUUACGUGUCACAAUUAGUCUAGCAAUUAUAUAGACUGCCACUCUUAUUUGCAUAUCACAAGGGGGUCACAAAGACAAACUGCUUUUCUUGCAGUGUUACCAUGAAUUUCUUUUUCUUUUUUUUUAAGUUUCUUUUGAUUUCAUCAUCUCAGAUAUAGAUGUUUGACAUAUACACAGAAUCAGGGAAGAUAGGGAAGAUUUAGAUAUUUCAUCAAUCAAGUUUUAUGCACAGAUAAGACUGCUUUAUCAUAUUUACAUAAUUUAGCUGAGAGACACGGCAACAUUUAACAAGAUGAAUCAGCUAAGCCAUAGCAACGAUCCAGAUGGAUAUUCGCCCCCUCAAUUUAUGCAGUUGGGUAGGAAGAAUCCAUAGCAAUUCCACAAAGGCCUUCUUUAGCAGCAAUGCCCCGUUUCAUCUUUAUAUAUCCACUCUCACCCCAGCUUGUUCCCCAUGAGUUCUUGACCAACCAAUACUUUGUACCAUUAGAAGUUUUCCCGUAUCCAACUGCAGUAACACCAUGGUCUAGAUCCGUUCCACAAUCUCCGGUGAAAACUCCACUGGAGUAGAAUUGGAAUGCCAUCCCACUCGCAUCGAUGGAAACAGAAACUGGUUGGUUUGCCACAGCUUUCAACAAUGCUGCUUCGCUGUUGACAGGCACCUUUUCAUAACCAGCGAUCUUGGCUGCGUGGGAAGCUUCUUUAGUUUUGCUGCAAGUUCCAUCAGCUGCCGUGUAUGGGUAAGUGGUUUCAGUGGCAAUGCCUUUGUUUUUCACGAUGAAUUCGAAGGCAUCUUCCAUGUAGCCACCACUGCAGCCCUGAUCUUGACUUGUUCUGUCGCAGUCCACUAUUUCUUGCUCAGAGAGUGAAAUCAACUUACCGGUACUCAGUUUUGUAAUCCCUUCAGUCGCUGCAAUUGCUGAAAAUGCCCAGCAACUUCCUGCAAAUCAGAAGCAAAUUACAAAUAUAUAUAUAUAUAUAUGAGAAAACCAUGCCCUUUUCAGAUUUGCUGCUAUCAUUUAUUAAUUGAGAAUGUGAUAGUAAUGUAAAGAUUAUAGAGUGGCUUAAAUUUAAUUACCACAUUGUCCUUGAUCCUUAAUUGGAGUGACUGCACCUUUGGUCCUCCAGUCCACGGUAGCAGGCACAGCAGUCACAUUUUCAUACUUGAAUGAUAUACUCCCGAACAGCCUUGGGGAGGAGGACAUCUUCAAUCCAUUAUGAGAGGCAACAAACUCCUCGUUGGUAAGGUCUGCGAAUCGAUUGAUUCCAAGAUUGUAAGGCCUGUUUCCAGCCCUGUUAAAAGAUUCAAUGAACUCCACAUUGUCCUUGAAUAUCUUGAAACGCCUUUCUUUCUCUGCACUGUCCUCGUAUACGCGUCCGUGGAGGCUCAUCCACUGCUCAUGUCUCUCUACCAUGGCCUCAUCAUUCAGGUUACGUGCUGCACCUUGGAUUGCUAGCAAUCCCAAAAGGAAAAAGAAACCGAUGACUGCUUUCAUUUUGUUUUAUUGGUUGUGUGGCUUGAAAUUUGAAAAUGUUGCUUGGCCUGUUGGUGCUUUGGUCCAUUGCAGAGCUAGGACUAUAUAGAGAGUGCAGAAGGUGCUUAUGGUCAUUGAUGCUCCUCCAAAAUUGAAGUUUCAAUGUAAUAGUGUGAGCAGAAGAGUUCAAGUUCUCAGUUUGCCGGGCAAACUAUGCUGUGGUGACUGGUGAAUUGGACAACCUUAUUGAAUAGCUUACGGAGAUGGUAACUAUUUGACAAUGAUAAGUACUUGAAAUUGUAGUUCAGUACUACUAUGAGGCCUAAAUUGCACAUAACCCCCUUAGGGUUGGAGGUGGCAUGCACAUAGUCCCAACAAAUUUUUAUUUAUCAUCAAUUUUCCCCAAAGACUAAUAGUUAAAGUUUACUACUAUUGUUUUUUUUUUUAAAUUUAAUAAUGUGACAUAAUGAUCUUUAUAUCCUUAAAAUAUAAGCACCUAAUUAAUUUGCCUCUCUAUGUUUUUGUUUUGUUUUUCCUUUCUUUCCUCGUAGUCUCGUGACAUUUGUUGUAGUUAAUUUAUUUCUUAGUUGCUUAUAUAAUAAAACAUACUUUAUUAGUAACUAACUGGGGAGGGGAUGGGUUGGGUGGUAAGGUGAGAGGGAAUAUAAGUAGAAUCUCCUAAAUUCAAAACCUCCCACUUAUCAAAAAAAUUUUAACUGGUUUAAAUGUAUAUAUACAAACAGGUUAGAUCGUAUAAUAAAUUAAUUGUUAAUAGUUAAGGUUAUUAAAUUAAGAAAUUAUGUCAAGAAUCAAUAUAAUUCAAAUCUAUUCCAAGCAUAUACAACUAAUAAUUACAAAGAGAGAAGAUUGCUUUCAAAAAAAUUACAAAGAUGAGGUCGUGGUGGUAUGACUAUAGGAUGGAAAAGAAUUUGGGAAAAAAAAAUUCAGGAGACAAAUUAAUAGUCAUUUACAUUAUUGUCAUGGAGUAAUUAAGCUUUACUAUUGGAUAGCUAAUAAAAUACUAUUAUCAUUUACUUGUGUUCUCCACUUUAAAAAUCGAGUGGACAAGAAAGUUGACACCAGGCAAAAUAAAUCAGUUGGGUUGUAUCCCAAUUGACUAGGGCCAAGAUGCGGAGCUCGAUUCCAAUCUUAAAAUUUGUUCUAGUAUUGUGUGCGGGUUGCUGUUUUUCACUAUUUGAGUGGAUUAUUCAUUUAUUUGCAAUGUUAGACAGUUGUACUACAUAUGUAAUUAUCCUUGGAUGUACUUAAUGUUACAAUUAUGGGUUUUGAUUGUAAUCUUGUACUCCUAUAGCCAAAAAAAAAAAAAAAUUGUUAAAAUAAACCUAAAACUAGCAAGUGCAAUUUACUCUACUUUAAGAUGCAAUUGGAUGAAAUCAUAAGGGACUCACUAAUUUUAUGACGGUUUUUACACUUAGAGCGCAUUUGAUAAAAUUGAAAUUUAAAAUCUAAUUCUAUUAAGUUAUUAAAUUAUUAAGUACUGAAUUUAUAACAUUUGAAUGUAUUCUGCAUUAAGUGAUAAGGUGUUAGUUUAUCACUUAUUAUUUUGAUUAAGUUUUGCCUAAACAAUAUUUCAGAAUCAUUUAAUUAAUUAAGAUAUCAUAUUUUUUAUUAUUAAUCACGUUUGAAUAUAUAAAAAUCUAAAUCUAUUAAGUUUAAGUGCUAAAUUGAUUUAUAAACAGGCCAUCAUGGUACAUAAAUUUUAGAAGUUUCAGCCAGCACUAGUUAAAAGAUGUUUACUUGAGACGAGAAAGCUCAAAACCCUGCUUCUAAACAGUGUUGACUAGAUGCUAAAACUGCUAAAACUGCAUUAGAAGUUGAUGCUAAAACUGCUCUAGACUUGCUUAAAUCGGCAGAUACCUCAACUCAUGAGUAUGCUUCAAUUAUCUCUGAUUGCAGGUUCCUGAUCUCUGCCCUGCCGAAAGUCAUACUUAGACAUGCUUAUCGAGAAGCAAACCAGUGUGCUGACAGAUUGGCAAAACUGGGUGCUCAACAAGAUGUUAAUUUUGUAUGCUAUGAAAGUAUUCCUUAUGCUUUGAGAAGUCUAGUAGAUGCAGAUCUUAAGGGAAUUUGUUUCCCUCGUUUUGUACCUAUAACUUAAGUUUGUUUUAAUAUAUAGUCCCUUUUAUUAAAAAAAAAAAAAAAAAAAAAACAGUGUUGACUAGCACUUGUAAGACAUUAGCAUGACUCUGGAGUAACAUUGUUGUGGAACCAGUCAACAUCUACGAACCGCUAGUAGCUAUAUUUUCGAAGUCACCAUAGCACGAUUUGCCCGGGCAAACCGACAUAUUAACUAAAUCUUGACUGAUUCUCAUGUUACAUGCAUGGAAAACACUUUUUACAUGAGACAGCGAAUUCAUCUUCUGCUCUGCAUAUAUACAUAGCUCUAGGACGGCCUCUAGAACACCAGUAGCUGAAGCAACAUUAAGAUUGAUUAUUCACAAUGGGAACAGCCAUUGGUUUAUUGUUUAUUUUGGGAUUGCUGACAACUCAAAGUUCAGCACGCACGCUAAACGAAGAGGCAAUGAUGGAGAGAUAUGAACAAUGGAUGAGGCUCCAUGGACGCGUAUACAAGGACGAUGCAGAGAAGGAAAGGCGUUUCCAGAUAUUCAAGAACAAUGUAGAGUUCAUUGAAGGUUUUAAUAGAGGUGGCAAAUCAACCCAUUUAAUUAAAUUACCCAUACCCGCCCAUGAAUAGAUGGGUAUGGGUAUCUUAAAUUUUUGUAUAUGGGUAUAAAUGGGUUACCCAAUAAUACGCAUUUAAUAAAUGGGUAUUAUUGGGUAACCCAUCAAACCCAAUUAACCCAUUUAGAACUCUCUUCCCCCCAAGUCUCUUCUUUUCCCCCACCCAUUUUUUUUUCAAAUUUUUCAUUUUGUCAUGAUGUUAACUACUUUUGUUUCAUUAUUAUUAUUAUUAUUAUUAUUAUUAUUAUUUGUUGGUUUUAUCUUAUUAUUUUAUUUUCUCUUAGUUUGUUAACUUGCUCAUUAAUUUAUGAUAAAAUUUAGCCUAUUUUCUUAUCUUUCUAAAAUGAAAUUUUAAAUUUAUAUAUGAAAAAAAUGUUAGGAGUUCAAAAUUUUUGGAUUAAAUUUUUAUAUUAAUUUUUAUAGUACUUAGUUCAAAUUGUUAUAUUCUUAUUAUUCAAUUAUUAAAUAAUAGGUAAUUUUGUGACAUAGAGUAUAAAUGAAAAAAAAUUGGUAAUUAAGUUUAUUGAACAUUAUAAAUAAAUAUUUAAAACUAAUGAUGGGUACAAAGAGUGGUAUAAAUUGAUAACUUAGUUUGCAAAAAUGAAUUUAAAUGAGUUUACAAAAAGUUAAAAUAAAUGGGUUAUAAAUGGAUAAUUGGGUUACCCAAUUCAUUUUUUGAUUUACCCAUUUAUACCCAUCUAAUUAAAUGAGUAUAAAUGAGUUGACUCACUUAUACCCAUUACCCAUUUUACCCAACCCAAACCCGCCCAAGUCACCCAUUUUGACACAUCUAGGUUUUAACAAGGCUGGAAACAAGCCUUACAAGCUCGGCAUCAAUCAAUUUGCAGACCUUACCAAUGAGGAGUUUGUUGCUACUCAUAAUGGACUGAAGAGACCCUUUUCACCAAAGUUGCUCACAAGUACAUCUUUCAAGUAUGAAAAUGUGACCCCAGUGCCAGCUACCAUCGACUGGAGGAAGAAAGGUGCGGUCACACCGAUUAAGGAUCAGGGACAAUGCGGUAAAAAUUUAAGCCCCCUCUGGUUGUAUGAACAAAGUAAUUAUUUAUCUGGGGUUUUAAUUUUAACACCAAUCGGUUUGUGAGGAAAGGUAUACUUAGUUUUUCAUAUACAUAUAUAUAUAUAUAUUUGCUUCUGAUUCGCAGGGAGUUUGCAGGGCAUUUUCGGCAGUUGCAACAACUGAGGGGAUUACAAAACUGAGUAACGGGAAGUUGAUAUCACUGUCUGAGCAAGAACUAGUGGAUUGCGACAGAACAAGUGAAGAUCAGGGCUGCAACGGCGGCCUCAUGGAAGGUGCCUUUAAAUUCAUUGUGAAAAACAAGUGCAUUGAACAACGAAACCACUUACCCUACACGGCAGCUGAUGGAAAUUGCAACAGAACUAAAGAAGCUUAUCACACAGCCAUGAUCAGUGGUUAAGAAUUGGUGCCCGUCAACAGCGAAGCAGCAUUGCUGAAAGCUGUGGCUAAUCAGCCAGUUUCAGUUGCCAUUGAUGCUGGUGGGAGGGCUUUCCAAUUCCACAGCAGCGGAGUCUUCACUGGAGACUGUGGAACUGAUCUAGACCAUGGUGUUACUGCCGUUGGGUAUGGAACUACUAAUGGCACAAAAUACUGGCUGGUAAAGAACUCAUGGGGCACAAGCUGGGGUGAGAGUGGAUACACAAGGAUGCAACGGGGCAUUGCCAUGGUUCAAAGUCGCGGUUGUGGUUGUGGUCGCGGCCUGGACCGUUCCACAUCGGUCUCGGCAUAUCGGUCGCGGUUUCGACGUGACGCGAAUUUUUGAAAUAUUUAAUAUUUUAAAAAUUGUAAAAAAUAUGAUAAACAAAAAUAAUUAAAAAUUUAGUAAAAAUAAUAAAAAUUCGAGUUGACUCGGAUGACUCGGAAUGAUUCGAUGUGACUCUGCCGUUUCAACCCUACACGGUGACGUUUCGACGAGUUGAGUAUCUCGGUAUCGUUUCGUCACGGUAUCGUAUCGGCAAAGGCUGAGACGGUGACGACUGGCCGAGUCUUCGAACCAUGGGCAUUGCUGCAAAAGAACGCCUCUGUGGAAUUGCCAUGGAUUCUUCCUACCCAACUCCUUAAGGGAGGGGCGAAUCAUGAUCUUUAUAACUCGAGUGGCUGAGCUGAUUCUGUUCGUUAGAUGCUGGCUCGUCUCUGCUCAAAGUAAAUGUCGUAAAGAAGUCAGUGUGUACAUAAACUUCAAGAAUGGAAGUUCUUGUACCCGAUAUCUUCCUCAAUGGUAGUUGUAUACAUUUAAAAACCUUGAUAAAGCAUUAUGUGCUCAAUUUGACCAUCUGCAAGAAUCCUCAAUAUCAUUUUCAACUUGAUAUCAAACUUAAAUUGAUGUAUUAACUCUUAUAGUAGAAUACCCUUAAAGCCAAAACAAUGAUUGAAAAUCAACGAGUAACAAAUACAAAUUAAACGCCCCUUCCUCAAGUCGAAACAAGUAUUAUUUAACUCGGUACAUGCGUUGAUGCAUGCAGCCUGGUUAAGCAGUAAGCAGAGACUAUUUAACAGUUUCAUGAUUGUUUCUUGGUUUCCAUCGAGUCCUUUUUCCAUCCAGGAUAACUUCAUUUGCUGAGGACAAAAAAUGAUAUCAUUGGUGCAUUCUCUGAACCAGUUGGUACCUUUCCACAGGACUUAGAACAUGUUAUACUUCUUGAACAACCCUCGAGAGAGUUAACAUCUAUACUGAGAAGGAUAGUUGGGAAAGAACGAUGAGACUGGUAAUUAUAAACCCAAAAAAAAUAAGUGUAUUCAAUCAUGGACAGUAAAAAAGACCUCAAUUGACAGCUCAUCAGCAAUCUUCUGCGGAAAAAUCAAAUCAGAACAAAAGUAUAAAGAAGAGAGAAAAGGGAAGGGAGCCUAUAAUUCCAAAUUUUUUUAAAAAAAAAUGAGCUUUACUUUAUAAUCUUAUCAGUUAUCAGCCGCAGAAAGUAUUAAUUCAUACAGGACUUCGAUCUUCUUGUUUAUAUUUCUACGUUGGGUCAUUAGUCAUCUGCAUUGAGCUUUGUUGUUAUAGGAGCAAUACCCAAUGUAGGUUGGAUAGAAUUCUUGAGAUAUCUUUCAUUUCAUCCUAAUUAGAAAAAGAAAAAAGAAAAAUUGUAGCUUUUUGACUGAUGAGGAAUCAAAUCAUCAUCAGAUAAAGGUACAAAUUAAGAAGUCAAAUAAAGGGUACUUGCAAAUCUUGCAAGUUGAUUAUAGCUUAUAGUUCGAGGUACAUAUUUAGUGCACAACUAGGCGAGCGUAGAUAUAAGGCAGAUAGCGCUAGCCCCUCUAAUUUCUUUGAUUUAUUGAAGAAGGAUUUGAAUAAUUUUGUUAUACAUUAUAAUGCAAUUCAGGCAAAAAAAAAAGAAAAAAGAAAAAAAAACCCUGUGAGGCUUAUUCUAAUUACUCAUUAUUAACUUUUUCAGUAAUCACAUCUAAUUAAUAGUGUUCUCUAAUGUCCUCUGCUACCACAUAAUAGAGUGUGUUUGCAAAAUAUGGAAUUUUAGUUCUGAAAUUUGCAUCUAAAAGAAUUUAUUAACGGGAGCAAUUAUAAUUAAAGAACAACUGAAAAAUAAAAGCAGCUACAAAUGCUUAUGGGAAAGGUAACUCUAAUUGCAAAUUAAGUUAAAUUAAGAUGGGAGGCCUUUGUAACAAACAUAACAUUGAGCAAUGAUCAGCUAAUUUUCUCUAGUUCAACGUGCCAUUGCAUCUCACAAAACUCAGAAAUUUUUUGAAUCCACCAAUCACUAUUUUAAAUGCAAAAAAUGGUUAUUGUUAGUCUCACUGUUGUCGAGUGAAAUGAAAUUCACAAAAGUUUACAGCCAAGAAAUCAAAACUUUGACAUAUUUAGUGGUCGUGACUUUUAAAUAUUUACUAAAGAUAAGAUAAUAAGUUCAAAUACGUAUUAAUCAAAGGUCAAAAAGAAUGUAGGAAAUGAGAUAGACAACUUAGUUAAAGGACGUUAGCUAAAGACAGGAGAGAACUCAGAAUACUCCACCUGAAAAUGUCCUGAUUAUUGUAAACGUUUUCAGGAACAUCGGCCUUCCAUCAAACAUUGUUGAACCAGCCACCGUCUACGUACGGUACCUACCUAAGUUGUACAAGCCACCAUUGCAGAGCUUGCCCGGCAAACUGGGAAUUUGGAUCUCUUCUGAUUAGAAUAUUGCAUGGAAAAAGCAAUGUUGAAGGAGCAUAAUGUAGCCCAUCCAUCUUCUGCUCUCUAUAUAUAACAAGCUCUGUAAGGAACCUAGCACCAAUCACUAAAGCACAUAUUCAAGAAACCAACACUUGUACAACGACUUCAUCUUUGAAAAUGAAAACGGUGAUUGCUUUUUUGUUCCUUUUGGGAUUGUUGGCAAUUCAAUCUGCAGCACUACGCACACUAAAGGAUGAGGCUAUGGUAGAGAGACAUGAGCAGUGGAUGAGUCUCCAUGGCCGUGUAUACAACGAUGAUGCAGAGAAGGAAAGGCGAUUCCAGAUAUUCAAGAACAAUGUAGAGUUCAUCGAAGCUUUUAACAAGGCUGGAAAGCUGCCUUACAAGCUUGGUGUCAAUCAAUUUGCAGACCUUACCAAUGAGGAAUUCAAAGCCUCGCGUAAUGGAUUUAAAGCUUCCUCCUCGCUUAAGUUGAUCAGAGGUGCAUCUUUCAAGUAUGAAAAUGUGACUGCUGUGCCUGCCACCAUGGACUGGAGGAAAAAAGGUGCAGUCACUCCAAUUAAGGAUCAAGGACAAUGUGGUAAGACGGCUACGCAAUGUAUACAAAUGGACUAGUACUAGCAUUCUUAAAUAAUUGCAGAAUUAGUGAUCAUUUGAAAGUGAUAAGAUUUCUCAUACACUGAUUCACAGGAAGUUGCUGGGCAUUCUCAGCAAUUGCAGCCACUGAAGGAAUUACCAAACUCAGUACAGGAAAGUUGAUAUCACUCUCUGAGCAAGAAAUAGUGGAUUGUGACAGAACAAGUCAAGAUCAGGGAUGCAAUGGUGGAGAAAUGGAAGAUGCCUUUGCAUUCAUAGUGAAAAACAAAGGAAUUGCCUCUGAAGCAACUUACCCCUACACAGCAGCUGAUGGAACUUGCAGCAAAACUAAAGAAGCUGCUCAUGCAGCCAAAAUCGAAGGUUAUGAAAAGGUACCUGCCAACAAUGAGGCAGCAUUAUUGAAAGCGGUGGCUAAUCAACCAGUUUCAGUUGCCAUCGAUGCAAGUGGCAUGGCUUUCCAAUUCUAUACAAGUGGAGUUUUUACUGGAGACUGUGGAACUGAUCUCGACCAUGGUGUUACUGCUGUAGGAUAUGGCAAGGCGUCUAAUGGUACCAAAUAUUGGCUGGUAAAGAACUCAUGGGGCACAAGCUGGGGUGAGAGUGGAUACAUAAGGAUGCAACGUGGCAUUUCUGCCAAAGAAGGCCUCUGUGGCAUUGCUAUGGAUUCUUCCUAUCCAACUGCUUAAGUAUGGGGUGAAUCUCACUCUUGAUUAUUCCAGUGGCUUAACUAAUUCCACUUGUUUAGUAUUGGUUUGUCAAUGUUACUCCUUUUAAAUCAUGUAAUUUUAGUAAAGCAGUCCUAUGUAUACUAUGUAUAUAAACUUCAUAAAUGAAAGAGCCAGCUCUGUUACUAUUUGUCAGAAUUUUCCACAAGCUUUUAAAUCUGAUACCAAAUUGGUCUUGAUAGUGUGAAUUUGUAAUCUACAAGUAUUGUAGCUAUAAGAGCAAAAGUAUUGAACAAGAACAGCAUAUAUCUUUCCGCAAGAAGUCCAAAAUAUUCUGCUUUUUGGUUUUUUCCUUUUCUUGUAGAGCUUGAAUUUGAAUCUUGCAAGAGCAACACUUGAUGUGUUAAGUUAGAAUUCGUAACUGCCUCUUCAAUCCCAAUUAAGAACCACAUUGCAGCAUUUUUCUUGACUUAGCAAUCGAAUAAGAUUAAUAAUGCAAGAUAGAAACUGAUGCUUUCGAAAUCCCCAUCUCACGAUUCUCACCCAACAUUUUUAACUUAAUGCAUUUGAUUACCUAUCUCUUGCAGCUUGAUUUACUGAUCUUUAUAUUCAGCAUAUCUUCCUUCAUUUAAAUUUGGGUGAAUUACUAAUAACCCCCUAUAGUUUCACCUAUUGUUACAUGACCUCCCUAACAUUUUAAUAUAUCUACUUCACCCCGCUAUGGUUUCAUAUAAACUAAAAAUGUAACGAAAAAAUAACCUAUAUAACGUUGUUAGUUGAAAUACCAGUAGUGUCCUUACUUAAAUGAUAAAUCAAAUGACUUAACCACCUUUACAAAAUCAUAAGAGAUUACGUGGGUAAAUACAAAAAAGUAAUAGGAGCAAAGUAGAUAUUUAUACAAAUUAUAGGGGGUUAAGUGGACAAUAUGAUUUCAUGACACGCACUUUUGGAGAGUAAGUGGUUUAAUCGUUGUGACUAAUUAUGCAUUCCAUUCAUUUUCUACUUUAUAUAAAAUUAUAGGAGAUUAUAUGACUAUUUUAAAACUUUAGAAAGGUCAUCUGACAUUAUGCAUAAUUACAAGAGGUCUAUAUAAUUUACCCUUUAAAUUUUGAUAGAAAUUCAAGUUUGUUUAAUCUCUUCGACACUAGCUACCUUACAACCCAUACUAAAUCCUCAAACCCAAAAGAGGGAUGAACAUUUUGUGCCAAAAAAUUAUUCAAGAAAACAUAAGGUUCCAUUAUUUGCUACUAACAAAUAGGAAGAGAAUAAUUGUUUGUAAAACCAAAUACAAGUUUAAUCUUCCUAAUCAGAAAAACAUAAAUUUAUCAAGACACAAACAAGUUUUUAAAAUCUUUAAACAAAGAAAUUACUUGAAACAACAUUAUAAGAUCGAAACUUGAGAGACGAAAUAGAAGGUUAGAUGUGAUUCCCAUAUCUAAAUCAAUCAUGCUCUAAAGGCAGCAGAACUUAUGCAUUUAGUUAGCGGACAUUCAGAAGGGAUAAUACGAGAAACUCUCUUGAGGUUUCUUUUAAUAUCAUUUAGAAAAUUUUAAAAUGUCACUUACCACCCAUACUUUCAUUAUUUGUGUAACAAAAUUUUUUAACAAAAAUCCUAAACUGCCCUUUUCUCCUAAACCACUUUGUUUACUUCAAGAAAAACUAUUAACUAAAAAACAAACUCUAAUAGUACCAUUACAUUUUAAAGUUAUAGUCCAUAAAAAUACAAAUUUAGAAAAUAAAAAAUAUUUGUAAAGAAAUACGUCAACACCAAUUCAACUCUAUAAAUUUAAAAUCGAUUUCUUAUGAACCCUUUUUUCCCCGGCCUCCUCUCAACUGUUGGUCCAAGCCUUUAAGUUGUAUUAAAUCAUUAUAAAGAUCAACUCAAAAUAAAUAAAGAAAACAUACAACAUUUUAUCAUAAUCACAAAAAAGAAAAAGAUAACCAUAAUUCAAUUUACCAUAAUUUACAACUAAAAAAAUGCAUAGUCAUAUAAAAAAAUGAGUAAAAGAGAGUGUUGGAGAAAUGGGAAAAAGAAGAAAGUGACUUUUGUUUCUUUUUCUUUAAUUUUUUAAGCUCCAUUUAUUUAUUUAAUAUGUGAAUUAUGUAUCAAGUGAGGGUUAAUAUAGUCAUUUUGCAAUUACAAGGGGAGAAAAGUGAUAUUUUUAAAAUCUUAGGGUGCUAAGUGAUAUUAAGAAAAACCUCAAGGGAGGUUUCUAAUAUUAUCCCUAUUGAGAAUCCUGAUUUUUGAAUUUUAAGCGCGUGAGUAUGCAUACGGUUUCAACCACUUUAGGUAAUGGGAGUUUGAUAGUUUCUGAAAGCGCGAUUUUGCUAUGUCAAUCAUGUAUGCGCCUUCAACAGCAGGAAACAUACAAGCUGGCGCGAUUUGAACAGCAAUUCCUCCAAGGCGUGCUUGUCUUGGCAAUAUAUAUAACGCCUUUAUAUUAGCCCAUAAAGAAGCUGUUUUGUUCUAUCACCCAUCUCUGAAUCUGGCACUUGGAAGAGUUUAUUAGUGACUACUUACCUAGCUUCGGUGGUUGGCUGUAGCAGAAAUGUUUGCAUGUAGAAACUCAAGUUGGCAAGGACCGAUGAGGCUCCGUUUGUUUGACAAGAAAGUCGUGCAAGGAAGUGCAUGCGAGAAAAGUGAGGUGAAGUGAUGUAAAAAAAAAAAAAGGAAACUAAAUUUCCUGUAUGUGUUUGAUAGACAAGAAAAUAGUGUAAAGAAAUUUGAGUUAUUGUAUAUAAAUUUGAAUGUUACAGGAAAAUUGUUUACAUUUCUUGGAUAGAUGCUAUCGAAGUACUAGUACAUUGGUUAGAAACUAACGCAUUGAAAUAUAAAAAUACAUUCAUUUGCUAAAAGAUUACCUAAGAGGAGCAUAAAAUAUGUAAUAACGUAUUUAAUUGCAUAAUUAUUUCAAAAAUAAAUAAAUAAAAACUAACAUGAAAAUAAAGUUGAAUGCAUAUACUUUUAUGCUAUUACAUCUAAGUAAUUUAUUCAAACACUAUCUAAGAGUAAAGGUCUAAGCAUUGAUUCGAGCGCUUGACACAUGGAAAAAAAGAUAUUGAAACAUUCAUGCUUUAUAGGUAAAAAAAUUAGCCAAAAUGGAAACUCAAAUAAACAGAAUCAGAGGUUUGACUUCUGUUCAGAAAAGAAGAAUUAGAAGGCGUAGAUAUGAUACGAGCGCUUAGAGUCCUAGACUAAAGUUGCUCUGUUUGCACCUGUAAGUAGCAAAGUUAUAUCCAAAAGAAACUUCUAAAGAAAUUGGUUAAGAGUAGGCGAAUAACUACUCAUGAGUCAUGACUAUUUUCUUAACUCAAUUGCAUAAAUUUACUUCCACAUUCAACUGGUGAAAUGCACAAUACACAACAAAGCUCAACCUCUGUAACUUUGGCCGUAAGGGGACAAAAUUACUCAUUCCUUGGAGCAGUGCAGUAAAAGAACAGGCAUUGCUAAGAACUCUGC
This 35224-nucleotide long non-coding RNA is filed under the name Coffea arabica (coffee). Its description in RNAcentral is "long non-coding RNA (CARA_LNC004584)". The record is from RNAcentral. Lineage: Eukaryota; Viridiplantae; Streptophyta; Magnoliopsida; Gentianales; Rubiaceae.